GCGAGGGUGGCGGAACAGGCAGACGCGCUACUUUGAGGGGGUAGUAAGAGAAAUCUUGUGUGAGUUCAAAUCUCAUCCUUCGCACCA
This 87-nucleotide transfer RNA is filed under the name Clostridium coskatii. RNAcentral describes it as "tRNA-Leu". It matches the Rfam family "tRNA". From Rfam's summary of the family: Transfer RNA (tRNA) molecules are approximately 80 nucleotides in length. Lineage: Bacteria; Bacillati; Bacillota; Clostridia; Eubacteriales; Clostridiaceae. The record is from RNAcentral.